This 559-nucleotide ribosomal RNA is filed under the name uncultured Glomus. RNAcentral's name for it is "SSU rRNA". It matches the Rfam family "Eukaryotic small subunit ribosomal RNA", at positions 546 to 1106 of the family's 1831-position model. Lineage: Eukaryota; Fungi; Glomeromycota; Glomeromycetes; Glomerales; Glomeraceae. The record is from RNAcentral.
AAUUGGAGGGCAAGUCUGGUGCCAGCAGCCGCGGUAAUUCCAGCUCCAAUAGCGUAUAUUAAAGUUGUUGCAGUUAAAAAGCUCGUAGUUGAAUUUCGGGGUUAGUAGGUUGGUCAUGCCUCUGGUAUGUACUGGUCUCACUGAUUCCUCCUUCCUGAUGAACCGUAAUGCCAUUAAUUUGGUGUUGCGGGGAAUUUGGACUGUUACUUUGAAAAAAUUAGAGUGUUUAAAGCAGGCUAACGCUUGAAUACAUUAGCAUGGAAUAAUGAAAUAGGACGUUCGAUCCUAUUUUGUUGGUUUCUAGGAUUGACGUAAUGAUUAAUAGGGAUAGUUGGGGGCAUUAGUAUUCAAUUGUCAGAGGUGAAAUUCUUGGAUUUAUUGAAGACUAACUACUGCGAAAGCAUUUGCCAAGGAUGUUUUCAUUAAUCAAGAACGAAAGUUAGGGGAUCGAAGACGAUCAGAUACCGUCGUAGUCUUAACCAUAAACUAUGCCGACUAGGGAUCGGAUGAUGUUAAUUUUUUAAUGACUCAUUCGGCGCCUUACGGGAAACCAAAGUGU